UGGGGAAUAUUGCACAAUGGGGGAAACCCUGAUGCAGCAACGCCGCGUGCGGGAUGACGGCCUUCGGGUUGUAAACCGCUUUCAGCCAUGACGAAGCUUUUGUGACGGUAGUGGCAGAAGAAGCACCCGCUAACUACGUGCCAGCAGCCGCGGUGAUACGUAGGGUGCGAGCGUUGUCCGGAAUUAUUGGGCGUAAAGAGCUUGUAGGCGGUUUGUCGCGUCGAAAGUGUAAACUCAGUGCUUAACGCUGAGCCUGCUUUCGAUACGGGCUGACUAGAGGAAGGUAGGGGAGAAUGGAAUUCCCGGUGGAGCGGUGGAAUGCGCAGAUAUCGGGAGGAACACCAGUGGCGAAGGCGGUUCUCUGGACCUUUCCUGACGCUGAGAAGCGAAAGCGUGGGUAGCAAACAGG
This 409-nucleotide ribosomal RNA is filed under the name bacterium. RNAcentral describes it as "partial 16S ribosomal RNA". It matches the Rfam family "Bacterial small subunit ribosomal RNA", at positions 355 to 776 of the family's 1533-position model. The record is from RNAcentral.